Molecule: long non-coding RNA, 1213 nt
Organism: Xenia sp. Carnegie-2017
Lineage: Eukaryota; Metazoa; Cnidaria; Anthozoa; Malacalcyonacea; Xeniidae
Exons: 4
Source: RefSeq, a predicted model, not a curated record
UAGGUUUGAAAUGCGCAAUUUCAUCAACAGGAGAAAUGUGCGAGCUUUAUUGAAGAAGUACAGUGAUUCAAAGCUAAGUUGGGACGAAUUUCAAGAAUUAAAAUCUGAAAUAUCUUCAAAGGGGCUUAGGACUCUAUUUGAAUGGUUAGAGAAACAAGGAUUUAUCACUACUUGUCCAAACUCGUGCAGAAGGUUAUUGGCAGCAUUGGCUUCUGACAAACCAGUAUGCGCAAUUGUGCCCCCCAAAGAAGAAGUUUUGGACAUCUUGAUAAGGAUGUCUGAUGGAGCCAAUCUAAAAGACAAUCCUUCGACUGAUUUAAAACUUCUUCAUGAAGAAGUGCCCCUACUGUUUAACGUCAUUGAGACUAGCGAAGAAAUUCCAAUUACUAUUCAACCGCUGCUAAAGGAAUUGGUACAAAAGGCGAUAAGUCCGUUCGAGGUCAAGGACGGUCAGUGGCGUUUGCCAGUGUCACAAAAUUCGUCCCAUGGAUAUUCACCUUGUCUGCCAGAACUGGUUCAACGAGGGAAUUAUGUUCUUGACAAUAGGAAGACACAGCAGUGAGAUUGUGCCAAAGUCACUAGACUCAAGAAGAAGCAUGGCACUUUGAUCCCUGGAAUAUUUUGUAUUCUUUGUCCCCACGGUAUAUGUUAUGGAUUCGAAAUAAUGAGGGAUCACGAAUCACCAAAUAUCCCAUUUACCAUUUUACGAACACGUUUUCCUGAUGCGCCAGAGUUGGUCAUUUACGAUAAUGCCUGCAGAUUGCACGAGUAUUGUUUGAACCGAGAUGCAGCAUAUAACAUGAAAUUGUACCCCAUGCUCAAUAUGUACAAUAGCCAAGCUGCUGAACAGUGCAAUUCGUCUAUUAAGCCUCUUGCCUCCAUGGUUUUUUACAUGGAAUACGAUAACUUUUUUCUUUUUACAAAACUCCAUAUUUGGCACAGGAAUAUGUUACGCAUUGUUAAAUACAAUCCUGAGAGAGAAAUAGCCUACAAACACUAUUUUCUCACUCUUAGUCGUGUUAUUCAUUAGUAACGCGUUAUAGUUUCGUUUUUCGAAAAAUUUAAACUUGUUUUUAUGAAUAGUUUUAUCUGUACAACAUGUUACUUCAUAGUUACCCAUAUAGUUUCUACAAAAGUAACAAUUAUAUGUAACGUCGUUACUUGUAAAAAAAUUAUUUACAUCACUUGUUAUAAAUAUAAGAAUGUUAUUCAU